UUCCCUGUAGCUCAGCUGGAUAGAGCGAUCCCCUCCUAAGGGAUAGGUCGAAGGUUCGAAUCCUUUCAGGGAAGCCA
RNAcentral lists this transfer RNA (77 nucleotides) under Planctomycetota bacterium. RNAcentral describes it as "tRNA-Arg". It matches the Rfam family "tRNA". Rfam says of the family: Transfer RNA (tRNA) molecules are approximately 80 nucleotides in length. Their secondary structure includes four short double-helical elements and three loops (D, anti-codon, and T loops). RNAcentral also lists the same sequence under 1 other name. The record is from RNAcentral. Lineage: Bacteria; Pseudomonadati; Planctomycetota.